AACAAACGCUGGCGGCGUGCCUAACACAUGCAAGUCGUACGAGAAAAUCGGCUUCGGCCGGUGAGUAAAGUGGCGCACGGGUGAGUAACGCGUGGAUAAUCUGCCCUUUAGUCAGGAAUAACCUGCCGAAAGGUGAGCUAAUACCUGAUAAUACUAUUUUCACCCCGGUGGGAUAGUCAAAGAUAGCCUCUAUUUAUAAGCUUUCACUGAAGGAUGAGUCCGCGUACCAUUAGCUAGUUGGUAGGGUAAUGGCCUACCAAGGCCAUGAUGGUUAGCUGGUCUGAGAGGAUGAUCAGCCACACUGGAACUGAGAUACGGUCCAGACUCCUACGGGUGGCUG
Molecule: ribosomal RNA, 340 nt
Filed under: uncultured Pseudomonadota bacterium
Lineage: Bacteria; Pseudomonadati; Pseudomonadota
Description: bacterial SSU rRNA
Rfam family: Bacterial small subunit ribosomal RNA
Source: RNAcentral